GCCCGUUUACGCGUGUGCGGGUUUGGGCACCUCUGCUCCAUAGCGAAGACCGAAAAGCACGGCCGCCGCCACGCACCACCCCCUGCCGCCAACACACUGUAGGUCAGCCGCCGGCAACAUUGAAGGAAUUGUUUUUUUUAGGUGAUUGGUGGGUGAAAUGUGGAUCCAUUCUUGAUUCCACGGUUCCACCUAGAACUGGAAGUGGAAUCAGGCACUGCGUCUUCUCUUUUCGGGCACCGCAGCACACAAAGCAGAUAGUAAUGGCGUCAACCACCAUAUCGUCAUGCGCAUAUCAGACGGUGCAAGGCGCGCACCGAUUGAAGAUCUGUCAGUUCAGUCACGGGAUUGUUGGCAUGGAUGUCAAUGCUGAUGGUUUCAUCCGCUCCAGCACCUUUAGGGUUGGGGGAUUCGACUGGGCUACCCAGAGGGCUAUGGCGACGACAGUGAGGGAUUCAUAUCAGUUUUUGUUGAGUUCAUGAGCAAGUAUGGGGAGGCGCCAGCGGUCGUCGACAUAAGACUGAUUGAUCAAGUCACUGGGAAGCCCUACUCGUUAUUGUCAAGUGUGUUUUUUGAAGAGGAUGAGGAGCCAUUUCGGUUCAAGUCUGACAGCUUCGCAGAGGCUACCUGGGGUAAGGAGAGGUGUAUAAGAAGGGAGGCGUUGGAGGAUUCAGUGUAUGUCCGGGAUAACUGCCUUGUGAUUGAAUGUGUUAUCACUGUUUUAGGCCAAUUAAGGGUGUCCGAAACCAAACCAUUGUGUGAAAUUGAUGUGCCUCCCCCUAACGCACUACGACAUUUUGGCAAGAUGUUGGAGGAUACGUCCACAGCAGAUGUGACCUUCAACGUUGAACAAGAAACAUUUGCUGCCCACAGGGUGGUGCUUGCUGCGCGGUCACCUGUCUUCCAAAAGCAGUUCAGCGAGCCCAUGAAGGACAAGAAGAUGAGCCGCAUGACCAUCAAUUUCAUGGAACCGGUGGUUUUCAAGGCUCUGCUCCAUUUCAUUUACACCGAUUCCCUGCCUGCAAUGGACGAUCUCAAUAAAGCUGAAAGCAAUGCUGUUAUGCAGCACCUGCUUGCAGCUGCGGAUCAGUAUGAAUUAGAGAGGUUGAAGCUUAUGUGUGCACGCACCUUGGUUAUGAACCUUAAUGUGGAGAAUGUGGCUAGUGCACUAUGGCUGGCUGAUAAGUAUGAUUGCCAGAAGCUUAAAGAAGCUUGCGUCAAUUUUAUGGCCCCUUCCAACAGAGUGGAUGCUGUGGUGGCAAGCCAAGGGUACCAGCUUCUGAAAAGAACUUCUCCCUCUCCAUUAGCAGAUGUGUGGGAGAAGAGGAGCCGUGUUCGCCAAGGCUUUCUUUAGAGCACAACCAAAAGGUACAUUACUAGUUUAAGAGUGCUUCUGUCAGCAAAAUGACCGGUAUGAUGUCAGCAGAAUGUAUUAUGCUUAUCUAGAUCCUAUGCUUUGAGAAAUCACCUAAGCACCCCCCCCUGGUAACUCUUUAGUUUUUUGCUAGAAACUAUUAAUGUAAUGUUGGUCAUGUAUGUGUAGCUGUGAAAUGUUGAUCUUUAGAUGCAUUCCUGGGUCAAUUUAGC
RNA transcript from Hordeum vulgare subsp. vulgare (domesticated barley), 1584 nucleotides. It is a transcript of the gene named BTB/POZ and MATH domain-containing protein 1-like, with no coding region annotated. The record is from RefSeq and is a predicted model, not a curated record. The transcript has 3 exons. Lineage: Eukaryota; Viridiplantae; Streptophyta; Magnoliopsida; Poales; Poaceae.